GCAAAUUAUAAAUAUGUGUGUGUUACAGCUGCCAAGUACAAUGCUUCUCUCUGGGAUUGGGAGAAGGUUAAAAACCAUUUGUUAGGUAUUUGGCAGAAUAGUAAUAAUAGCUUGGAUAUUCUGGAACUUCAUCACCAUAUCCAAGACAUUCAAAAUAACAGAGCUGAUUUUUCAGAUCCUUCUUCCUUGGCUAAACAAAUAUUGAAGGAGUUGAAUGGAUUCAACCCUGGAAAUAUUCUUAAACACUCAGCCUGGUACAUUAUUGGAUUAUUCUCUUUGCUGUUAAUUCUCUUUUGUUUUGUAAUUAUAGGAUGUCGAGUCUUUGGAACAAGAAUACAGAAACUCCAAAGAGUGAAACACCGCCUCAUUUUUAAGAAAAGAAAGGGGGAAUAUGUGGGAAGCCAUUCUCACAUGUGACUGGGCAACUCCCGGUUUGGGUCUGAGGCGCUCUGGCUAACUGUGUUGGAGCUUUCCCGGCCCUCUCCUGAUGAGAGAGCCUGUCCAUAGGGGGUUGUGACUGACCACUGACCCCGGGGGCCAAUCACUGACCCUGACCUUGGAGUGUGGCCCCCCUCAACCUUCAUUGGACGGAAUUCUCCCCUGAAUUUCUUGUUCCCCAAUAAAAGGCUACUCCCUGGCGUGCUCCCUCUCUCUCUCUCCUGCUAGUCCUGAGUAAUCCUUGCUGCCCUACCGGGUGGUUAGAGGUGAGAGCCAGAGGGGGAGCCGUCUCAGACCUGGUCAUAGAAAAAGGUAACUGAGUCUGUGUGUUUUAUUUCGAUCUCGCUAGCUAACUUUUAUGCCAAGAACCUCAUUAAUGAAACCAGUGUGCUGGUCGCAUGGUGGAGAAGGACACCGCCACUUCUUUGGAUACUCAGCUCUG
Molecule: long non-coding RNA, 880 nt
Filed under: Marmota monax (woodchuck)
Lineage: Eukaryota; Metazoa; Chordata; Mammalia; Rodentia; Sciuridae
Source: RNAcentral